RNAcentral lists this ribosomal RNA (1377 nucleotides) under Streptococcus thermophilus. RNAcentral's name for it is "bacterial SSU rRNA". It matches the Rfam family "Bacterial small subunit ribosomal RNA", at positions 66 to 1429 of the family's 1533-position model. Lineage: Bacteria; Bacillati; Bacillota; Bacilli; Lactobacillales; Streptococcaceae. The record is from RNAcentral.
GCUGAAGAGAGGAGCUUGCUCUUCUUGGAUGAGUUGCGAACGGGUGAGUAACGCGUAGGUAACCUGCCUUGUAGCGGGGGAUAACUAUUGGAAACGAUAGCUAAUACCGCAUAACAAUGGAUGACACAUGUCAUUUAUUUGAAAGGGGCAAUUGCUCCACUACAAGAUGGACCUGCGUUGUAUUAGCUAGUAGGUGAGGUAAUGGCUCACCUAGGCGACGAUACAUAGCCGACCUGAGAGGGUGAUCGGCCACACUGGGACUGAGACACGGCCCAGACUCCUACGGGAGGCAGCAGUAGGGAAUCUUCGGCAAUGGGGGCAACCCUGACCGAGCAACGCCGCGUGAGUGAAGAAGGUUUUCGGAUCGUAAAGCUCUGUUGUAAGUCAAGAACGGGUGUGAGAGUGGAAAGUUCACACUGUGACGGUAGCUUACCAGAAAGGGACGGCUAACUACGUGCCAGCAGCCGCGGUAAUACGUAGGUCCCGAGCGUUGUCCGGAUUUAUUGGGCGUAAAGCGAGCGCAGGCGGUUUGAUAAGUCUGAAGUUAAAGACUGUGGCUCAACCAUAGUUCGCUUUGGAAACUGUCAAACUUGAGUGCAGAAGGGGAGAGUGGAAUUCCAUGUGUAGCGGUGAAAUGCGUAGAUAUAUGGAGGAACACCGGUGGCGAAAGCGGCUCUCUGGUCUGUAACUGACGCUGAGGCUCGAAAGCGUGGGGAGCGAACAGGAUUAGAUACCCUGGUAGUCCACGCCGUAAACGAUGAGUGCUAGGUGUUGGAUCCUUUCCGGGAUUCAGUGCCGCAGCUAACGCAUUAAGCACUCCGCCUGGGGAGUACGACCGCAAGGUUGAAACUCAAAGGAAUUGACGGGGGCCCGCACAAGCGGUGGAGCAUGUGGUUUAAUUCGAAGCAACGCGAAGAACCUUACCAGGUCUUGACAUCCCGAUGCUAUUUCUAGAGAUAGAAAGUUACUUCGGUACAUCGGUGACAGGUGGUGCAUGGUUGUCGUCAGCUCGUGUCGUGAGAUGUUGGGUUAAGUCCCGCAACGAGCGCAACCCCUAUUGUUAGUUGCCAUCAUUCAGUUGGGCACUCUAGCGAGACUGCCGGUAAUAAACCGGAGGAAGGUGGGGAUGACGUCAAAUCAUCAUGCCCCUUAUGACCUGGGCUACACACGUGCUACAAUGGUUGGUACAACGAGUUGCGAGUCGGUGACGGCGAGCUAAUCUCUUAAAGCCAAUCUCAGUUCGGAUUGUAGGCUGCAACUCGCCUACAUGAAGUCGGAAUCGCUAGUAAUCGCGGAUCAGCACGCCGCGGUGAAUACGUUCCCGGGCCUUGUACACACCGCCCGUCACACCACGAGAGUUUGUAACACCCGAAGUCG